GACUUUGUAAGAGCUUUAUAAAGUUUGGAUUUGUUUUGGAUGACUCUUGAUUUUUAAAAUAAAAUAGAUGAUACUGUUUGGAGAAUUUUGUAAGUUUGGCAGUAGAUCUACAAGUGAAAAUUUUUAGGUUUGCGGAUGUAGUUGUGCUUGAUAUGUAUUGUGAAUUUGGAUUUGAUCAAACUAUUAGAUUAAAAGGCAUGAAGGUUUUUGUGGAUUAUGGUCUC
This 224-nucleotide long non-coding RNA is filed under the name Physcomitrium patens. Its description in RNAcentral is "long non-coding RNA (PPAT_LNC009728)". The record is from RNAcentral. Lineage: Eukaryota; Viridiplantae; Streptophyta; Bryopsida; Funariales; Funariaceae.